AAUUCAGAUGACUAGAUAUUGGCAAUGCUUCUUAUCAAAUCGUAGCAAAAGAUUCACAUGCAGAACUAAUCCAUCCAUUGCUUUAUGGCUAUUAAAGUAUUUCAAUAUCUGAAGAAAAGGAAAAUCUAAGGUGAAAAUAUCCCUGACUACAGCAAGUGAACCAACUUCUAGACCAGCGAGGGAAAAGAGAAAGUGUUUUAAGU
Molecule: unclassified non-coding RNA, 203 nt
Filed under: Hevea brasiliensis (rubber tree)
Lineage: Eukaryota; Viridiplantae; Streptophyta; Magnoliopsida; Malpighiales; Euphorbiaceae
Source: RNAcentral